RNAcentral lists this ribosomal RNA (274 nucleotides) under uncultured bacterium. Its description in RNAcentral is "partial 16S ribosomal RNA". It matches the Rfam family "Bacterial small subunit ribosomal RNA", at positions 523 to 796 of the family's 1533-position model. The record is from RNAcentral.
AUACGUAGGGGGCAAGCGUUGUCCGGAAUUACUGGGCGUAAAGAGCUCGUAGGCGGCUCAGCAAGUCGGUCGUGAAAUCCCCGGGCUCAACCUGGGACCUGCAUCCGAUACUGGCAGGCUAGAGUCUGGUAGAGGGGGGUAGAAUUCCUGGUGUAGCGGUGAAAUGCGUAGAUAUCAGGAGGAAUACCAGUGGCGAAGGCGGCCCCCUGGACUGAGACUGACGCUGAGGUGCGAAAGCGUGGGGAGCAAACAGGAUUAGAAACCCCGGUAGUCC